This 273-nucleotide ribosomal RNA is filed under the name Triticum aestivum (bread wheat). Its description in RNAcentral is "partial small subunit ribosomal RNA". The record is from RNAcentral. Lineage: Eukaryota; Viridiplantae; Streptophyta; Magnoliopsida; Poales; Poaceae.
AUGGUUAUAAAAUUCACUUUGCCAGAUGGCGUAAUGUCUGAUAUGAAGAUUUUUGAGCUUGUGAUAGAGUUUGAUUAUUAUCCUAAUGUUUCCAUUGCUUAUCACAUCUUAGUUACUGCACAUAUGACUAUCGCAUCAGCUUGAAUAAGCUUUUCAAAGUUGUUAUUGAAGAACUAUUUGAGUUCAGUAAUGACACAAGAGAGAUUGAAUGAUUUGGCAACGAUAUGCAUAGAGAAGAAAUUAUUGGAUGAGCCUAACAUUGAUCAUAAAUGA